UGUUGCAUAGUGUGUUGCCGCGCGCGCAAGGUGGACGGUGUGGCGCGUUCGAGGUUCUCCGUUCUCUAUGUAACGUCUGACGGGAGUUGAUCGUGCAUUUUGCGGAGCGAGGCGGGGAGCGGCGUUACGUGAACUUCCGCAAGUCCGGAAUUCGGGAAAUCGUCGGCGACGCGGCGAUCGGUCCGCAUUUCCUCCGUCAUCGUCGUCGUCGUCGUUGUUGCCGUCGACGACGACGACCGUCGGUUGGCGUUUGAACGCGUAGAAUGGUAACGGAUCGCGGGUAAAUCGGCGCGGGACGGCGGUGCGCGGCAACGCGAAACCGAUUUGGGAUCGAUCUCGACGUCGUGUAUGCCGCGUUCGCGGAAUUGUCAUCGGACGGUCGAGCCAGUCUCCAGGAGUCGAACGGCGCAAUCGAUAAUCCUCCUGCUAUUCCCCUCCUCCCUUCCGCGAGCGCUUUUUGCGCUGGCCGAGAGAGAUCGUAAUGGCGAGAGCGUGGCGUCGAUGGACGACAGGCGGCGAGAGUGGGAGACAGUGGUAAAAACAAUGCUGAAUCGUCAGGGAGUCGCGCAUCGCUGACCAAGCUUCUCUACAGAUAUGGCUAAGGAUUUUGUGCGCCACUUUUAAUUAACACAUCAUCUUUUCAAUAUGGAUGAUGAAGAAGGAGCUUCAAGUUCUGGACCGAUGUCUUCGUUAAAUAGUUUGUUCUCGUUCACCAGCCCCGCUGUGAAAAAACUGCUUGGUUGGAAGCAGGGGGAUGAAGAAGAAAAAUGGGCUGAAAAAGCAGUAGAUUCAUUAGUAAAAAAACUGAAGAAGCGCAAAGGUGCGGUCGAAGAGUUAGAGCGAGCGCUUAGCUGUCCUGGAACACCGAGUAAAUGCGUAACGAUUCCCAGGAGUUUGGACGGCAGAUUGCAGGUUUCUCAUCGCAAGGGUCUGCCACAUGUGAUAUAUUGUAGGGUUUGGCGAUGGCCGGAUCUCCAAUCGCAUCACGAAUUAAAGCCAUUGGAUCUGUGUCAGUUUCCGUUCUCUGCCAAGCAGAAGGAGGUCUGCAUUAAUCCCUAUCACUACAAGAGGGUAGAGAGUCCGGUACUGCCACCAGUGUUGGUUCCUAGACACUCGGAAUAUGCUCCCGGCCAUUCUCUAUUGCCGUUUCAGCAAUUGGCCGAUCCGAGCAUGCCACACAAUGUGUCCUAUUCAUCUAGUGGUUUCAAUGCCAGUUCCACAACCGGUGUAAAUCCGACAUCGCCUAUGUCAUCCGUUGGUUCUGUGCCUAGUCCAGGCAGCACAACCUUGCCAAAUCCUCAAAGUCCAUAUGGUACUAAUGGAUUACCAGAGACACCACCGCCAGCAUACUCUCCACCCGAAGAUGGCUCUCAGACCGGGCAAACCACUUCUUCGGAUUCAGUCCCGAUGGAUACAAGCACGUCCAUCGAAUCAGCCACACCUGUAUGUUACCAAGAACCACCCUAUUGGGCCUCGAUCGCUUAUUACGAGUUGAAUUGUCGAGUGGGCGAGGUGUUUCACUGUCAAACACAUUCUGUCAUUAUUGACGGUUUUACAAAUCCGAGCAACAAUUCCGAUCGCUUCUGUCUCGGGCAGCUGUCCAAUGUAAAUCGAAAUUCUACGAUAGAGAACACGAGGCGACAUAUAGGCAAAGGAGUGCAUCUGUAUUACGUGGGGGGAGAGGUUUAUGCCGAGUGCCUUUCAGAUUCGGCGAUAUUUGUACAAUCUAGGAAUUGCAAUCACCACCACGGCUUUCAUCCCAGCACAGUUUGUAAAAUUCCACCGGGUUGUUCCUUAAAGAUAUUCAACAAUCAAGAAUUCGCCCAGCUUCUGUCGCAAAGCGUAAAUCAUGGCUUUGAAGCUGUCUACGAGUUAACGAAAAUGUGUACAAUUAGAAUGUCUUUCGUAAAGGGAUGGGGUGCCGAGUACCAUAGGCAGGAUGUCACAUCAACUCCCUGUUGGAUUGAGGCACAUCUGCAUGGACCUUUACAGUGGUUAGACAAAGUUUUAACGCAGAUGGGUCCGCCCCAUAACGCCAUAAGUUCUGUGUCAUAAGUAAUAUGCAUCACUAAAAUUUUUAUUUUUUUUUUUUUUUUGUUAAGAAACGAUUAGUUUCGAUGCACUUUUAAGAAUUUAGCUAUAAUUGGCCAUAUUCGCCACACACAUGAGAGUUACGGAGACUGUGCACAGACGAAAUACAAUUACAGUAAGUUGCUUUAUAUCUAUAAUGAAAUGAAUAUGUAAUGCGUUUGAAGAAAAUAUAAAAACUUAAGAGAAGUUACGCGAAAAAAGAUAUUUAUAACGUGAAAGAUAUUUGAGAAAUCUUAUGAUGAUUAUAAGAUGUACAUGUUUAUAGAUGCUGUAAAAACUUUUGUGGCUGUUACACGGAAAAAAAGAAUAUUAUAUAGAUAUAAUCAUAUAUAUAUAUAUACAUCUAUAUAUAUGAAAAAAAUAUUUUUCAGAUCUAUGCAUCAGUCUAAUACUUUAUUUUAUAUGGAGACUUAUUGUGGACAUAUUUGUCAGUGUUAUACUACAAACAAAAUCCUUUUAAUUGAAAUCUUAGACGAUUUUUAAUUGUGAUGAUAAAAAAAAAUUGAUGAAAGUAAAUUCUCCCAAUUAUAGGAAGCGAAAAAAUAUUCUGUUUAAAUCGAGCAUAAUCUAACGAUUAUGCCUGUUAACUAACGUGUGUGCUUUAAAGUACAUUUAUGUCUGUAUAGAUUUAUUCAAAUUUAUCGUUAAAUAACUUUUAAUGUAGUUGCGGGCUUUUAUUGAUACAAUCUAUAUUUCAAUGUAAAAUGUUGGACGUUGAUCUCACGUUGACUAUUGGAAGUUAACUGCGUCCGAUGAAACAUUGAAUUCACUAAUCUGUAGAAAGAUCAUCUACAGUCAUGGCUUAUACUCCAUCUCUAUACAGAUUAUAUUGCAUUGUAUUCUCGAUUAUUGUGCAUCAUGCGAUUCGACGCUUUCCAUAUUACACACAAUUCCUAAGAACAAUACACGAUUAGGGUAGACAAAGUAGGAGGAAAGAAAAUAUUUGCCUAAUUAAAUGUUAAGGAAAGAAUAAGAUGUAAUUUACAGUCGGAUAUAAUUGGAACAAGUUGUUUGGUACAAACGUAAACACCGAUAAAAUAUUUCCAUAUUGCAUAAUGUGGUAUAAUUGCGCUAAGUAUACAACUGAUGGAGACAAUAAUUGACGACUUCAAAAAAAAGCUAAAAUGUAAGAUGCUUUCAGUCCAUUCUAAUAAAAGGAAAUUUAUUGUUUGAUACUGCGAUAAUUAAUCUGAUUGUAUUUUGUAUGAAAGAAUCGAUUCGGUAUUCUAUAUUAGAGAACAAAACUAGAAAUAGAAAAAUGCUAUAAAUUUAUGGCCAUUUUUAUAUCUUUCUUUGAAUCAGUUUCUUUCUGCAAGAUACGAUAUGAUUUUGCUUGAUAUUGAGAAGUGCACACAAAUUAUAGAUCAUUAAUUAGAUCGUAAUCUAUGUGUCGGUGAAUUAUUAAGUAGUGAAUCGAUUAGAAUGGAAUUGCGAAAUUUUUUUAACACAUUGAACUCUGUAGCGUACGAAACGAACACGGUGCAUUACUAUAAGAUAGUACGUGCAGAAGAUAUACGUGUACAUGAAUAGUUUUUCAUAUGCAAGAUAAUGAUUGUAGCUUAUAUCUCACGUUAUCAUCAGUCUUCAUUUUUUUUUUUUUGCUAACUGAAUCGUUAUAGAUUAGUCGCGAAGCCCGUUUACAAAACAAUCUUGCCUGAGUCUUCGAAUCUAAUUUUCGAAAUGAAAUGUAUUUUAAAGUCUACGACAAUUCGAUUUCAAAUUUAGUUUCAAAAAUUGAUGAAGCACUAUACUUUGUUGCGCGCCACCCAACGUCUGUGCCUUGGAUGCCUUUUAUAUUAUGUAGUUAUGUAAACAACCAUAAUGUAAUGCAAUUUUUGAAAUGUAUAAUAGUAAAGUACACAGAAGUUUUCCCAUCCAACAAGAGAUAAAAUUUGUAUGACAAUUCUCUCUCGAUAGUUCACGUGUAAAAUAAAUAUGUAUAGCUC
Molecule: unclassified non-coding RNA, 4037 nt
Filed under: Pogonomyrmex barbatus (red harvester ant)
Lineage: Eukaryota; Metazoa; Arthropoda; Insecta; Hymenoptera; Formicidae
Description: protein mothers against dpp, transcript variant X3
Source: RNAcentral